CGAACGCUGGCGGCGUGCCUAAUACAUGCAAGUCGAGCGGACUGAUUAAGAGCUUGCUCUUAUGACGUUAGCGGCGGACGGGUGAGUAACACGUGGGCAACCUGCCCUGUAGAUCGGGAUAACACCGAGAAAUCGGUGCUAAUACCGGGUAAUAUCUGAGAUCACAUGAUCUUAGGUUAAAAGAUGGCUCCGGCUAUCACUACAGGAUGGGCCCGCGGCGCAUUAGCUAGUUGGUAAGGUAAUGGCUUACCAAGGCGACGAUGCGUAGCCGACCUGAGAGGGCGAUCGGCCACACUGGGACUGAGACACGGCCCAGACUCCUACGGGAGGCAGCAGUAGGGAAUCUUCCGCAAUGGACGAAAGUCUGACGGGGCAACGCCGCGUGAGUGAUGAAGGGUUUCGGCUCGUAAAGCUCUGUUGUUAGGGAAGAAACAGUACCGAACGAACUAGGUCGGUACCUUGACGGUACCUAACCAGAAAGCCACGGCUAACUACGUG
Molecule: ribosomal RNA, 498 nt
Filed under: uncultured bacterium
Lineage: Bacteria
Description: partial 16S ribosomal RNA
Rfam family: Bacterial small subunit ribosomal RNA
Source: RNAcentral